This 13749-nucleotide long non-coding RNA is filed under the name Capsella grandiflora. RNAcentral describes it as "long non-coding RNA (CGRA_LNC000519)". The record is from RNAcentral. Lineage: Eukaryota; Viridiplantae; Streptophyta; Magnoliopsida; Brassicales; Brassicaceae.
CAUACACAUAAACAAAGAAUUAAACAUUCUCUUAAAGUAUAAAGCUUCCACAAAUACAAUAAACAUCAAAAACAAGAAUUUAAUGACACAAUUGAAGUAAGACCUCCCCAAAGUUUAAGAUUUUUAAUAUUAUCUAAACUGAGAGCAAAAAGCUUUACUCACCAGAACAAUCUGUAAAAUCACAAUCAGAUUCAGAAACAGAGAAUCAAUUUGUGGGAGCAUUAAAGUGAGAGAUGGGUCUUCUUAUUCCCCGACAAUCCUCACCAAAAUCGAGGACACAAACCCAGAUCUUUACAACAGCGAUCGACAGAUUUUUCAAAGGGUCUAAAUCGUAUGGAAGCUUUUUGUUGUUUUGGUGUCACUCAAAGCACCAUGUGAUACACGCCUAAACACGUUAUUCCAUAGAAGAAGAAGACGAAACUAUCAUCAUACUUUGAAUCGCGAUACGACGGAUUCGAGAGUGUUGGCACAGUUCUCUUUUAUUUUUUUGUGUGUGUAGUAGACGAAAGAGACCAUUGAGGAACACGAUUGCCACGCGUCGUUUUUUAGCUGGACUUAGCGCGGAGAAAAGAAGGUAACGUUGAAAGUUAUCAAACUGCGUGCCGUUUUCACCCAGCUAGGAAAACGUCAAUCACUUGAUGGCUCUUUUUCUCUAUGGUGGUGAGUUAAAAAUAUUUACACUUUUGUUUUGAUUUCUCAUACUGUAUUUUUCUUUUUGUUUGGACAUGAUAGAUUUAAUAGGUUGGACCAAAGUUCUGGAGAAGUAAUUAUGAUUCUAAAAAGAUUGUAUUGAGUGAAAAUAUGGUAGCAAUGGAAGAGUGUUCAUUGUUCAAGCUCAUGGGUGAUGAGUAUUAUAACAGCGUGAAACGAAUUCAUUAAUAUGUUCUACUUUUUGAACACAUGAAAUUAUGGGUUUAAAAUUUGAGACUUUGUUUUAGUAGAAGAUUAAAAUGAUGUAAGUUUUUAAACCAUUACCAAUGGUCUCUUAUUUUGAGGUAAAAAACAUUUUAAAAUUAUAGGAAAGUUUUUUUCCAUUACUAAAUCAUUUUGAGAGAAAAUUACUUUUUAAAUAGUAAGUAUAAGUAAUAUAGAAGAAUAUAAUUGACAUAUUUCUUUUGAGUUAAAAUACAGGGAGAGCCAUCGAAAAAAAUGAGGAUAAAUUAUUGAAAUAACUCAUUAAUAUCGUGUUGGUAUAUAAAGAUUUAAUACAUCUUUUGUACAAUUCCGUUUUUCAAUUAUACAUUAACUAUAAAAUUAUUCUUUGACCGGUAAUCAAGUUUGAUUAUGAAGCAUAUUUCUAUAAAACAUAUAAACAUAGCUAAAGAAAAUUAUACAUUACUUUGAAAAAUAUACAUCACUAACAUUUAAACAAUUAAGACUACAACACUAAAAAUGAGUUGAAUUCAAUGUCAUAUAUGCAAAAUAUAGACACACCUUUAAAUUUUAGAUUUGUUAAAAUAAUAUUCUGGUUAAUAUAACUGGUUUAACUACUAUCUCAACUAUCUUUUCACACAAUAAAAUUUAGGAUCAUUGCGAUUUUCAUCAGCAUUAUCGUUAAAUGUAAAUUUAUUGUAAUCGAUAAAAAAAAUUUAAAAAAAUCAUCACCGAAAAGAUUUGGGACACCGAUUCCAUUUUUUUCAUUUCAAGUAUACCUCCGUCUUUUUCUUGAUUGUGUUAUCUUUGUCAAAAUCGUUGACAUAGAAAUCAAAAAAAAUAUUUUGGACUGAUCCACUCGAUGCAGGAGGUUACCGUGGUCGUUCUGACUUCUGAUCAUUGUUACGGUGAUUUGAGGUGUCAAAUUUCAGUGGAUAACAACAUUCGUCCAAUUCUUAUUUACAUCAAAGCUUCUCAAAAGUGAAUUCGACAAAUACAUGUCAUCGAUACCUAUUGUGGUAUGUUAUAUGCAAAUUUAAGAUUAUUGCGCACUGAAAUUUUUCUAUAAUGAUCCAAUCUCUUUUUAAAACUGAUAAAUCCAAUUUAUUGUAAUUGAUAAUACAAUUCAUUUUAAGCAAAAAAAUAUAUUCAAAAAUAUUGCAGUUAUGCAAAUGGUUACAAACGUUUUUUGAUUUUUCAUAUCAUCGAAAAAUAUUUGAAGGAGUUAUGUUUAUACAAGGAAUAUAUUUAUUUAUUUUAGCAGAAAAAAAAGAAAAAAAGUAUAUAUAAUUUAAAAUAUAAAGAUGGUCCAGUUGGUGAAAAAAAACAAAAAUGGUCGCGUUAAGCCGAUGCCAUUUGUGAUUGAUGAGAAGAUAGCAUUAUGAACACUUUCAGCAUUUUCUGAGGAAGAAAGAGACAUUCAAGGAGACAAAAAGUUUGAAAUACAUAUGAAAGAAAGAAAGAAGAAAAGAAUAUUUGCGUUAAAGAACGAAUUAUAAAUUAUGUUUUACACUAAUCCCUAUGUUGAAUACGAUCUCAUUCCAUUCUCACUUGUGGAACCCCUCACUCUCAAAAGACAAAACUAAAGUAAAAGACUUAAACCUCAGCUUAGAAACUCACACAAGAAGGGUUUAACACUUGAAUACUAAAGAAGAUUGGUGGUGGAUUUUGUAAAAUCAGUGGAUGCAAAAUCAUCAUUUUGUUCUCCUGAUCAUAUCUAGCCCAACUUUAUAAUAACAAUACACAAUAUAUAUUCAAGCACUAGGGAAUUGAAAUUGGAUAUUGAAGAGUGAAGAGUAGAGAAACCAAACAAAAAGUGUAUAAAUUAAUGGGUAAUGGGAAUCUAAAGAGUAGUAUAUAGAGUCAAUGAUUGGUAAAGCAUCCGCCCACUCAUCAAAUCUCUUUAUUUCAUCUUUCUUGGAAACAAUGAAUUGUGUCUCAUCUCAUCUCAAAAUACUUAACCAAAAUCCCACUUUCUCUUCAUACAAAGCAAUCAGAAAUUGCUCUAAAGUGCAUCAUCUCUUAUAAACAAAACCCACAAUGUUGUUGAUAUCGAAUGAAAAGGAAAAAAACAACUAGAGAAUAUUUCUUUAUUAAAGAAGACAAAAAAAAAAACUGAUAAUUUCCACAAAAGUAAGCUAUAUGUAACUUUAUUUCAAAAAUAAAAAACCUAUGUCUCACAUAAACUUUAUUUACAGAACAUGAUCAUAGACAGGAGUGCUACUACUAUUAAUACAUUGAAGUACUCUUCAUUAUCACAGACCUCCUAAAGCAUAUAUCUCACCAAAAUCACAAUCAAAACCAAAACUACUAGAGAUAUAAAAAUGGGAGAUCAACCACAAGAGAUUCAGCAGCCUCUUUACGUGUAUCCAUCUCCUUCUUCAUCUUCUACCUCUUAUACGACCCCGCCUUCACCCACUUCUAGUUCACGUGGCUCGUUCGGUACAGUGUUCAUAGUUCUAGCAGCGAUCCUUAUCUUGGCGGCACUGGCUUGUGUCUUUGGAAGGCUAUGCAACCGCGGGGGAAAGCAACACAAAGAAAAAAACAACAACAAAGCUUCGAAGCACGAGAAACCGUCGUCAAAGAAGAGCCGUGAGAUCAGACCUGUGGAGCGUGAGCCGAGAGAAAGAGGUGAUGUGGAGUUUGGGUUCGAUAUGAAGCGGCCUGGUCCAAUGGGGAAACCCUCUGGUCGAAACGGAGGGGACAUUGAGUUUGGGUUUGAUAACAAGAGAGGAGGAGGAGCUGGAGGAGCAGGAAGAGGAGGAGGAGGAGGAGCAGGAGGGAAAAGACAACCUCCGGUUAUGUAUUAAACAUGGAGUCACCAUGUCUAAGGGCACUUCAGACACGGUGGUUCCGACUUCAAACUCCGGUCAGAACAGAGUCUUAAAUCUUAAAUAAGACUAGAGACUUCAUCAUGCUUGUUUACUUUAUUGUAUUCUUGUUUGUUUUAUUUUUUGUCUUUUUUGUGUCGUUUGGUUUUGUUACAUAUGGGGUAUUGGAACUUAAUUAGAUAUCAAAUUAUAUAAUGAAAGCAAGAAAAGAAAAAAUUAGAUGACAAGUAACAACAAUUAAGCUCAAUAUGUGAAAAAAUAAGAUGAUGGAGUUCUUCAUUCAUGUUAUCACACAACAAAAAAAUCCAAAACUCAACACAGAGAAACAUACAAAAGCAAACACGAUUCAAAAUCACUCUUACAGAACACUGUUGUGACUUCUCUUUUUCUUUUUUGUUGUUGCUUUUUUUCUGUUCUCACCUAUGAUAAGUCUUUUGAGGCAAAUGUCCACAAUUAUGGAAGCAAAACUAAAGGUAAGCUAGCAAGAAACGUAUCUCACACACAAAAGAAUACAAAAGAGAGCAUUAAUGCUGUACAAAGAGCUCAAGCAUGAGGAGUGAUUAUAAGGCAAAGACAAGAGAAGAAGAGGUUAUAAGUUUGACCUAUCUUUGAAUCAGAACCGCCUGUUAUUGAAGUUUCUGUUGUCGGAUUCAUUCCUUGUGAACUCAGAGGAGGCUCCGUUGGAUCCUUUCCGGGAGCUAUGGACAGAGUAGUCUCCACUGUACAUGCCGGACUCUGAGCUGUCGUCAAAACCAAACGCCAUUUUUCUGAACUUCAUGGUGUCAUGGUUAUACUGACCAGAUUCAUAAGCACUGCUUUGUCCCACUUUGAUUCCGUUGCUGAUAUCUCCCAUGUCUCCUUCGCUGUCCAGUGCUCUCACAACCUUAUUUCAAACAAGUUUUGUGUAAGUUUUUCAAAUUUUAUAAACAAAAACAUGACAUUGAUAGGAUUGUUCUUUGUUGAGAUUUGAUUAGUCAUAAUUCUGCUACGAGUAGUGAUUAGUCAUAAGUACCUGAACCAUGCGUGGACGUUUAGGACCAGAAUGCCUAACACAAGCAGCAGCCGUUUCAAUCAUUCUGAAAACUUCAUUCUCCACGUAGUGCUUUUCUAGCCUCCUAUCGACUAGUUCACUGAAAUCACCGGUCUCAAUGGCUUUGUGAAGCAGUGGGCGAGCCUGUGAGUUCAUCAUAGAUUAUGUCAUUCAUAAAACUAGAGCCAAGUCUAACCAUAUAUUGAAAUAUCAAGACAGGUUAGUCUUUAGUACCCAUUCAACCAAACUCUCUUCUCCCACAGGCUGGUACUGGUCAACUGGUUUGCGUCCUGUUAUAAGCUCUAAGAGAACAACCCCAAACGAGAAUACAUCUGAUCUAUCAGUCAGCUUUCCGCUUUGUGCAUAUUCUGGUGCUAGGUACCUGAAAACAAAAUUCAAUAACAUAAAUCCUUAUGUACUUUUGAGAAUCAAAACUAGUUCGUCAGUUUUACAAGUUUAAGCUCCUGAAGAUAGGUGGACUAUAUAUUGGGGUAGAGUUUGUGAUCAAUCUUACCCAAAGGUUCCCAUAACACGAGUUGACACAUGGGUUUGUGUUGAAUCAUUGAGUUUGGCAAGCCCAAAGUCAGCAACCUAGACACCAAGAGACAGAAAUGUAAGAACAAAUAAAUGUCUCACUAACUAAUUAAAACUUUAGAGCCAAAGCUCAAAACAGAGUAAAUGUUUUCCUUUUAAAGAUGAUUUGCUUUAUUACCUGAGCUUCAAACUCAUCGUCUAGCAGGAUGUUUGCGGACUUGAUGUCCCUGUGAAUGAUUUUUGGGUGACCUGCAGAUAACGUCACCAUGAUUCAGCUUCUGUUUGAACUUUUGAAAUGCCUAAACAUUGCCUUCACACGCAAGAAAAAAACAGUACUUACAGUCUUCGUGCAAAUAUGCCAAACCUUUGGCAGAACCUAUAGCAAUUCUGACUCUUCUAGCCCAUUCAAGGACUGGCCUUCCCUUCCCUGUCAAGAACAGAACCCAUGUAAGCAAAAAAAGCAUGUCGAUUAACACACACAAAAAAUCUUGUCUGAUGAGGAAAUUGGCCAAAAAAACCUCACCAUGCAAAUGAUGCUCCAAGGUUUGGUUAGGAACAUACUCAUAGAUAAGCAAUCUCUCUGAAUCCGAAAUGCAGUAACCAACAAGAGAAACCAAAUGGCGAUGAUGAACACGACUAAUGAUCUCAACCUCUGCCUUAAACUCACGGUCGCCUUGUCCACUACCAACCUUAAGCUGCUUAACAGCAACUAGUUUCCCAUCAUUUAGUUUACCUUUGUAGACACAACCAAACCCUCCUUCUCCAAGUAUGUUCUGUUUAGAAAAUCCUUCAGUUAUGUCCAUUAGCUCUUCAUAAGUGAAAUGCGUUUGACCACUUCCCAUCACUGCUGAAUCAGGUGCGCUCCCUGACCGUGUAUAACCUCCUCCUCCUCUUUGGCUGCCAAAGCUGUUUCCGGUACUGGAUUGUUGUUGUGUAUUGUAACCACCAGGACCAGAGUAUCCCUUUGUUGGAUUUUGACCGUAUAAGAAUCCAUCUAAGUAAAGCAAAAGAGAAAACUUUAAAAUUUGAUUCUUGAAGAUGGACAAGAUUAUGAGAGAUGGAUCAAGAUUUCACCUGAUUUGAUGGAGAAGUUUGAAGGAGGCAAGUACUGUGAGUCACUGUAAGCAUCAACGUUUCUCUUUUUCUUCCUUCUGACUAAAAACACAACGGCCAUCAAGGCAAUGACCGCGAAACCCGCUACUGCAAAACCGACCAUAGUCUUUCCUUGAUAGCCGCCACCGCCAUUUGGAGGUGGCAGAACAGAGAUUCCGCUGCUGGGGACUCCGCGAGAUGGCGAGUUUAGCGGUCCACCAGGAGCGGUAGACUUAGAUGGUAGUGGAGGAGCGGGUGGUGAUUUGGCAGGUGCUGAAGGUGAUUUGGUUGGUGCUGAAGGAGAUUUGGUUGGUGCUGAAGGAGAUUUUUUAGGUCCUGGUGAGUGUUUUUUAGGUUUCUUGUGUCCGGCCUGGGGUGAAGACGCUGGAGGAGGUACCUGUUCAGGAGGCGGAGGAGCAGGAGGGCUGUCUUCUUCAUUGGGGGGAGGCGGUGGCGAUUCAAACACUUCCGGUGGGGGAGGGGAAUUGGUGGGCUCCGGCGGGGGUGAGUCUUCCGGUGGAGGUGGAGGGAACACAGUAGGCAACGGCGGUGGAGCAUUUUCCGGAGGAGGUGGAGAACUCGGUGGAGGAGAUGGAUCAGCAGGCGGAGGAGAUGUAUCAGCCGGCGGAGGAGGAGGAGAUGUAUCAGCCGGAGGAGGAGAUGAAUCAGCUGGUGGAGGAGAUGAAUCAGCCGGCGGACUAGGAGGUGGCGCUGAAUCCGUAGGUGGAGGAGCGGAUCCGCCGGUUGAGUUAUCCGGCGGAGGAGCAGAAUCGGCAGACGGUGCAGGUGGAGAAGAAGACGGCGAGUCCGACAUUUUCGCCUUGUUUCUCUCUGUUUUAGCAAAAUACUCUGCUUCUGAAAAUUCAAAAUCACUCAACAGAAGCAGAGUUAUCGUCUCUCUCCUCAAAAAAUACGAAACUAUACCUUAAAAUUCAUCCAUUGAUUAAAAAAAUAUCUGGUACUGCAACUGUAAACAACUCAAUUCAAAUAACAUCCGAAAUAAACAAAUAUUUUCUAAUCACAAAAAUAUUUUUAAAAAAUGUUUAUAUAGCGAAGACCUGGAAAUAAGCUGGAGAAAUGCGUACCAUUACGGAAGUAUAAUAUGAAGAUAUCAAAUGUAAAAUAAUAACACGUUAAUGGAGGACCUCUCUCUCUCUCUCUUGUUCGUUUUGUUUUAUAAAUUGUAACAGCUCACCCAUGAUCUUAUUUUUCAAAUUUCAUUGGAAGCACGUCGUUUUGCUGUGCCCGUUUGAUCCAAAACUACGUCGUUUUACAGUAUCCGGGUUACCGCGCAAAGUUCCCUGAACCGACUUGAUCUGUUUUAAAUCUGCCACGUUGGAUAAAUAAGAAAGGAGAACAACACACUAUCACUAUGACGUGUUUCUCUACUUCGAACCUACUGUGUGGCUUUGAAAGUCUAAAACGUAUUGGGCCUGUUGAUACGUAUUGGGCUCAUUGAUUUCUAAUGUCUUUAAAUGAUAGGAUUAUUUUUUUGUUUGGUCAUCAUAUCAUUUUGAAAAAUAAAUAAAAAUUGUAUAAUGUUUACCGAAUACACGAAAGUUAUGUUAUUUCGAAACUAAUUCUAUUAUCAUUAUUUUAUAUCUAAAUAAUUUAUCAAAAACUUCAGAAUUAUGUGAUGUAGAAGGAAACUAAUGGAAGCAUUUUCAAUUUCACAAGUUAACUAUUAAUAAUAAUACACCAAUAUUUUUCCUAUUCACAAGAAAAAACAAAGAUAGAAGAGAAUUCGUACACUAUUAUGUAACCGACCUCAAAAUAUCUACAGUACACGCAUACAUAUUUGAUGACUUAAUAAGAUUCUACACUAUUUUGGUAUUCUCUAUAAGUAAUGUUGUUAAUAAAUUUGACUGGGAGCUUAGUCACAAACCAUUAAGUAUAAACCACAUGCUAUCAUAUUCAUAUUUGUAUCGUUCAUUACCUCAAUAAUGUUUGGGAAUUCUCUAAAUAUAGUCUAAAAGGGUAAAAUAGUAAUUGAAGAAUAUAGAAGUAGAAACUUGUUGGCCAAGUUUUCGCUUUAAUCGUACGUACACUCUCUCUCUCUUGCCUAUAACUGUAAAUCCCUAAAACCGCCAUUGAAACAAACCUUCACCAUUUCUCCUUUUUCCCCAAGAAACCUUCUUCUUCUUUUCUCUCUCUCUCUCUGUUUCUCUUUCUUUCUAAUGGCGGCACAGGUCGAGAUCGACGAUCAAGAAUCCGUGACGAGACAAGACAACGGCGAAAUCUUCAACCCCGUCUCCGAUAAUAACGCCGUACCUAACUUCUCCGGCGAUUCAACGAUUCUUCUAAGUGAAGACAGCUUCGAGAACGAUCUCAUCAAGAACUGUUUCCUCUCGGGAAUGGGUUCCUUCUCCGGCGAAACAACGAUCGUUUCCGUUCGUAAGAACUCGACGGAGAGAAGAAUCACGACGAAAGCUAAGUUCGCAGCGUUUAAAGUUUUCACCGAAGCUUUGACGAGGAAGAACGAAGGAGUCGCGAACGUUAAGUACGGAUGGUACUCUGGUUCUAAAGAAGAGAUGGAUCGUAUCGUUACGUAUGGUUUUAGUAACAGAGAGAUCGAGAAGUUUGAGAAUGACGCUGGAUCUCACGGUGUUGGGAUUCAUCUUGUUCAUCAUAGAUACUCUCUCGCUGCGUAAGUCUUUUUUUUUAAUUUUGUUUUCAGAUCUAAGUUUGGUUAAUGUGAUCACUUUUGAUGAAACAGUGAAAUUGAUGGGUUCUGCUUUCAGGGCUUUAGUUGGUGAAGGUGAUGAACAAGGGAUGAAGCAUGUUCUCUUAUGCCGUGUGAUUCUUGGUAAACCGGAACAAGUCGUGGCUGGUUCUAAGCAAUUUCAACCAAGCUCGUACCGGUUUGAUUCUGGUGUUGAUAAUCUUGAGAAUCCGAGGAAAUAUGUGAUUUGGAGCUCUAACAUGAAUUCUCACAUUCUUCCUACUUAUAUCGUCAGUUUCAAGUCUCCUCGUCUCAGAGGUAAUAAUAAUAACACAAACUUAUUCAAGAUUCUUUGUGUGUUUUGUGGUUUAAUCUGAGAGUGAAGUUAAUGUUUUGUGCAGGUCUUAUUAGAAGAGCAAGGUCACCAUGUGUUAGCUUCUCUGUUCUUAUGUCUAUACUUUCAAAGUCACUCGACGCUACAAGAAUGAACAUGAUCUUGACAACUUAUGAUGAUUUUAGAGUACGGAGUUAUUUCAAUAUCCAUGAGCAGUGUGAUCUAUCUAUACAUGAUCUGGUUUCUGAAACGUUGAUUUUGUUUUUUCUUUUGUUAGAAACGGAAGCUGAGAAGAGAGCAGCUAGUUAAGAAGAUGAGGGAAGUGGUUGGAGAUCAUCUUCUUUUCAAGAUUCUCAAGAACCAGAGGCGUUAGAAAGAAAGGACAAAAAAAGUAGAAGUAAGUCUCCUUUAACAAGAUUUCAUAAUCAGUCAAUGAUAAAUGUUUUGCUUAUGGAGCAAGGUCUAAUUACUUUUUCAUAACUUUAGUUUGUUAGAAUAUUAGUCAGACUAGAGUAUUGAUCCCACUUUUUUUUUGUCUUUGGCAGAGGAGAAAUUGACGUUUACAGAUUUUACCAGAAGUAGCCAAAGUUUAACAGGAGCUGAGGACAUAAUGGAGAAGUUUCGAAACAACAAGAAACAACACAUUCACACACAUAGUAGUUAGUAGUAGUAUAUAGAAGAAGAUAUAUAGAUUGCAGUAAUGAAAAACACACUUUCUUUGUUUUUUACCUUUUCUUGUUUGUUUUUUACUCGUUAGCUUGUAUCAACCAGAUUUGACAAUUAGUAAUACAAAGACACUUGGUAAAAAUCCCCAAUAUGCCUAUUGUGUCACUUCCGUUGCUUCUUGAUCUCUGAUAUGACAUUUACAGGGAUGAACUAAUAUAGAUUUUAUUUAUGUAAAAAACCUGAAAAAGAGUUAAUUUGUGCGAAUUAUUAUAUAUAAAUAUUGAAUUACAUUAAAGAAUCAUCUUCUCUCCAUUAAGCUUUAAGGAAUGUUGUUGCUGUUUAUUAGAGAGUUGANNNNNNNNNNNNNNNNNNNNNNNNNNNNNNNNNNNNNNNNNNNNNNNNNNNNNNNNNNNNNNNNNNNNNNNNNNNNNNNNNNNNNNNNNNNNNNNNNNNNNNNNNNNNNNNNNNNNNNNNNNNNNNNNNNNNNNNNNNNNNNNNNNNNNNNNNNNNNNNNNNNNNNNNNNNNNNNNNNNNNNNNNNNNNNNNNNNNNNNNNNNNNNNNNNNNNNNNNNNNNNNNNNNNNNNNNNNNNNNNNNNNNNNNNNNNNNNNNNNNNNNNNNNNNNNNNNNNNNNNNNNNNNNNNNNNNNNNNNNNNNNNNNNNNNNNNNNNNNNNNNNNNNNNNNNNNNNNNNNNNNNNNNNNNNNNNNNNGAACAUGAGAUUGCAGAUCUUUCUCCUUUGAUGGAUAUAUCUGUGAAUUUUCCUGCUAUUAGUUCUGCUGCAAUUUCUACUACAUGCGUCAAGCACUGAAGCACAUGAUGAAAAUAGCAUACCUGCACUCCUUCCACUUUCGGGAUAUGACUCCUUCCACUCCUUCCGGUUUCUGUACACAUUGUAAAAAAGGUUACAUCUAUCAAAACUUAUUACUUGAAAGAAGAAACAAAAUCUACUACAUAUGAGACUCAUAAGAGACAACAGUACCUGAUGCACUUCCAUCAAAUAAUCUAAUUAGUCUGAUUACUUUUGCCUGCCAUGGAAACAAACACAAUUUGAAUUUCUCAUAAGACAAAAUCCAAAUAACCAUUUUCUCAACGAGAAGCUUUUGAAACAGACAAACACACCCUCUGAAUGUCAUUCUGAACCAGGAGACUCUGUAACAGUGGGAGGAUUUCCGUUGCUGCGCAAGAUGUAUGGUUCACAGGACUAACUGUGUAGCCAUUUUUUGGUUUCUCCUGAUAAAAGAACUACGAAGGUAAGGUUUCACAAUCUCGAGAACAGCAUGACAUUUUAUUCAAAAGUAAUUCAAAAUUACCGGCUCAUGUCCUGCUUUUUUCACUUGCUUUGUAUCCGCUAAUGGUUCUAGUAGAUGUGGCUCUUCAGGAACGAGCUUCCCUUCAGUUCCUUCCCUAGAGUAACAUGCAUUGCUUUCAUCUGUAAGGAUACCAACUUGAUAUCUGUUCCAAUAUGUUUAUUUCUAAGUUGUACAAGCAAACUAAUGAGAUAUCAAAGUAUGUAACUUUGGAUUAUCCUAGUCAUGAAUAUGUUAUAUAACCUAUCAUAUUAAUAAACAGACACAUGAAAACAUUAUAAGGGGAUGGUUACGGUGAAAUGGGACUCCACAGAUGGGAUUUACUAUUGUACAGAGAAGAGAAAAUGUUAUAAAGUACCCAAGAGUUGGAAGUAAUGGGAUGGUUGAUUGACUCUCACUUUCACUCAUCAUAUCCUGUAAGUAGGACAAGGGUAUGACAAGAGGUUAACUGAAAUGCAAAAUAGGUACGCAGAGAUAUGCCUUCAUAUGACGAACGAAUGACACUUGCCUUUUCUGAGUGACAUUCUGAAGAAGUCUGUGACCUUUGUACCACUGGGUUUCUUUUUGGUACAUCAAGUUCAACAUCCCCAUCUUCGUUCAGUUCCUGAAUCUCUGAAUUGCACAUUUCAUCAUUUGAAAUCUGAUAGCAGAACACUGAAGCAUUGAGAGCGAGCGAAAAAGACUAGUUUUACGUUUACUUUAAGAAAUGACAUUACUUACAAGUGAUGCUUGUCUCCUCAAGUCUUCGAGAUCAAAAUUCCAAGCACUAAUCCCUCGCAUAUACUCAUGCUGCAAGAAAGCAUUACAUGAUUCUAAAUUAGGUAGACUGCAAAGAUAACUGAAUAGAUGCGCAUCUCCAUAUACUGAUUAUAGAUUAGUACCAAAAGAGGUAAGAGAUGCUAGAUUGUUAUUUAUCUUUGUACCUGAGAUAACUGUUCUUUGUCACCAUUUAUGCCUUUAAACAACUCAGCCUCUGCCUCCUGACAUAAGAGAAACUUCACAGUUUGAAAACACCUACUUAUAUAUAAGGUAAGUAAUGAAGAUUAAGGUAAGUAAUGAAGAUACUGAAUUCCAACAGAUAAGUAAAUUCUUCAACUCACCUUCAGGUUUUGAAAACGUUCACCAAGUGGAGAAAGACCAUGAAGGAUUUUACGAGACAAAUAAUCUGUAGACCGAGCAUGUUUGAAGAAAGGGUGUUUCAGAAGUUUUGCUGAGGUUGGACGCCUUUUUGGAUCUUUAACUAAGCAAGCUGCGAUUAACUCUCUAAAUGACUGCGAAAAGGACACCGUUCCUUUCUAAGUGAAAGAAAAAUGGAAUCUACUUCUAUAUGUUGUACAUCAUUUAAUCCCACUUACCUUUGAGAAUUUCUUAUCUCUUUCAUAGUCAAGGCGAGGAGGAGCAUUUUGUAAAGUCAUUAAUAACACCUGAAAAAUAGUUGAGAGAACCAGCAGAGUAAGAUUGAAGUAAAAAACUACAUUGAAAGAAACAGUAGAUGUGGAUAAGGAAAUAUCAUAAGUCCAUGAUGGCCAUGAACUUGUCUACAGGUAGGACUCACCUUCAUAGGUGGAUAUUUGGAAAAUGGAGCAUGACCAUGAGCAAGCUCCAGCGCAGUUAUGCCAAACGACCAUAUGUCUGCUCUAAUAAGCCAAACAGAGAAAUGUAAAAUAACAAUAACCUAAGCUAAUUACUUGUGAUUGCUAUGCAUAUGGACUACUAGUAAACCCACAUACAUACUUGAAAUCAUAUCCGUCUACUUGCUGCAUAACCUCAGGUGCCAUCCUGAAAAGCCAAAAGAUUCAAUUUUUUUGAAAGAAUCAACCACCAAUAUAGAAACUUGAUUCUAGUCAGAGUACUAAGGACUCACCAACAAGGAGUUCCAACAAAUGUAUUCCUUGGACGCAUCCUUUCCCCACUUUCAAACAUACAAGCUGAAACUCCAAAGUCUCCAAGUUUCACUACACCUCUUGAGUGAAUCAAUAUGUUCCCAGCCUAGAAAUAAAACAAUGUAAACUCAUGAUCCCUCUACUCAAAACACAAGACAAAAGGCAGAGACUUUUUCCAAUCUUUUACCUUAACAUCUCUGUGGAUAUGACCUUGUCGAUGGAGAUAAACAAGAGCUUUAAGCACUUCCCUCAACAAAGUAGCAAUAAUAGGUUGCUCAAGACCAUCCGGAAAAACAGAUUUCAUUAAAUGAAAACAAGAACCACCAGACAUAUAAGGCAUCACAAUCCACAGACUACUACUGUCUAUAAACGAACAAUGUGCUCUCAAUAAAUUCGGAUGAUCAAUCAAGUUCAUUAUAUGAACUUCUUUGCGUAUUGUUUCCUACAUUAAUAACAACAACAAAAAAUGAAACUUCAUAUCAAAUGUAAUGUUAUGGUAACAACAGAGAUAAAGAAUUCAAAAAAGAUUGAGGAUU